This 497-nucleotide ribosomal RNA is filed under the name uncultured bacterium. RNAcentral describes it as "partial 16S ribosomal RNA". It matches the Rfam family "Bacterial small subunit ribosomal RNA", at positions 28 to 507 of the family's 1533-position model. The record is from RNAcentral.
GAUGAACGCUGGCGGCGUGCCCAAUACAUGCAAGUCGAGCGAACGGACGAGAAGCUUGCUUCUCUGAUGUUAGCGGCGGACGGGUGAGUAACACGUGGAUAACCUACCUAUAAGACUGGGAUAACUUCGGGAAACCGGAGCUAAUACCGGAUAAUAUUUUGAACCGCAUGGUUCAAAAGUGAAAGACGGUCUUGCUGUCACUUAUAGAUGGAUCCGCGCUGCAUUAGCUAGUUGGUAAGGUAACGGCUUACCAAGGCAACGAUGCAUAGCCGACCUGAGAGGGUGAUCGGCCACACUGGAACUGAGACACGGUCCAGACUCCUACGGGAGGCAGCAGUAGGGAAUCUUCCGCAGUGGGCGAAAGCCUGACGGAGCAACGCCGCGUGAGUGAUGAAGGUCUUCGGAUCGUAAAACCCUGUUAUUAGGGAAGAACAUAUGUGUAAGUAACUGUGCACAUCUUGACGGUACCUAAUCAGAAAGCCACGGCUAACUACGUG